AAAAACUUAGUUAAAUUAUAACACUAGCUUGUCAAGCUAAAAUUAUUAAAAUAGUUAAUAGUUUUUG
RNAcentral lists this transfer RNA (67 nucleotides) under Cnemoplites australis. RNAcentral describes it as "tRNA-Asp". The record is from RNAcentral. Lineage: Eukaryota; Metazoa; Arthropoda; Insecta; Coleoptera; Cerambycidae.